This 253-nucleotide ribosomal RNA is filed under the name uncultured bacterium. Its description in RNAcentral is "partial 16S ribosomal RNA". It matches the Rfam family "Bacterial small subunit ribosomal RNA", at positions 524 to 776 of the family's 1533-position model. The record is from RNAcentral.
UACGGAGGGUGCAAGCGUUAUCCGGAUUCACUGGGUUUAAAGGGUGCGUAGGCGGUCCGGUAAGUCCGCUGUGAAAGUCGGGGGCUCAACCCUCGAAUGCCGGUGGAUACUGUCGGGCUAGAGUACGGAAGAGGUGAGUGGAAUUCCUGGUGUAGCGGUGAAAUGCGCAGAUAUCAGGAGGAACACCAAUGGCGAAGGCAGCUCACUGGGACGGUAUUGACGCUGAGACGCGAAAGCGUGGGGAGCAAACAGG